GACGAACGCUGGCGGCGUGCUUAACACAUGCAAGUCGAACGGCAAGGCCCUGCUUUUGUGGUGUGCUCGAGUGGCGAACGGGUGCGUAACACGUGAGUAACCUACCCUUCACUUUGGGAUAACUUAAGGUAACUGGGGUUACUCCCGGACAGGAUCUCCUGUUGCAGGGUGGGGGUUGGAAAGUUUCGGCGGGUGGGGAUGGACUCGCGGCUUAUCGACUAGUUGGUGGGCUAGUGGUUUACCAAGGCUUUGACGGGUCGCCGGCCCUUGAGGGUGACCGGCCACAUUGGGACUGAGAUACGGCCCAGACUGGUACGGGAGGCAGCAGGGGGGAAUAUUGCACAAUGAGCGGAAGUCGGAGGCGGAAACGCUGCGUGCGGGAUGCCGGCCUGCGGGGUGAAAACCGCUUCCGCUUAUUACGCAGCUGGAGUGACGGUAAUGAGUAAAGAAGCACCGGCUAACUACGUG
This 468-nucleotide ribosomal RNA is filed under the name uncultured bacterium. Its description in RNAcentral is "partial 16S ribosomal RNA". It matches the Rfam family "Bacterial small subunit ribosomal RNA", at positions 28 to 507 of the family's 1533-position model. The record is from RNAcentral.